GAGCUUGCUCUCGGGUGACGAGUGGCGGACGGGUGAGUAAUGUCUGGGAAACUGCCUGAUGGAGGGGGAUAACUACUGGAAACGGUAGCUAAUACCGCAUAACGUCGCAAGACCAAAGAGGGGGACCUUCGGGCCUCUUGCCAUCAGAUGUGCCCAGAUGGGAUUAGCUAGUAGGUGGGGUAACGGCUCACCUAGGCGACGAUCCCUAGCUGGUCUGAGAGGAUGACCAGCCACACUGGAACUGAGACACGGUCCAGACUCCUACGGGAGGCAGCAGUGGGGAAUAUUGCACAAUGGGCGCAAGCCUGAUGCAGCCAUGCCGCGUGUAUGAAGAAGGCCUUCGGGUUGUAAAGUACUUUCAGCGAGGAGGAAGGCAUUAAGGUUAAUAACCUUAGUGAUUGACGUUACUCGCAGAAGAAGCACCGGCUAACUCCGUGCCAGCAGCCGCGGUAAUACGGAGGGUGCAAGCGUUAAUCGGAAUUACUGGGCGUAAAGCGCACGCAGGCGGUCUGUCAAGUCGGAUGUGAAAUCCCCGGGCUCAACCUGGGAACUGCAUUCGAAACUGGCAGGCUAGAGUCUUGUAGAGGGGGGUAGAAUUCCAGGUGUAGCGGUGAAAUGCGUAGAGAUCUGGAGGAAUACCGGUGGCGAAGGCGGCCCCCUGGACAAAGACUGACGCUCAGGUGCGAAAGCGUGGGGAGCAAACAGGAUUAGAUACCCUGGUAGUCCACGCCGUAAACGAUGUCGACUUGGAGGUUGUUCCCUUGAGGAGUGGCUUCCGGAGCUAACGCGUUAAGUCGACCGCCUGGGGAGUACGGCCGCAAGGUUAAAACUCAAAUGAAUUGACGGGGGCCCGCACAAGCGGUGGAGCAUGUGGUUUAAUUCGAUGCAACGCGAAGAACCUUACCUACUCUUGACAUCCAGAGAACUUAGCAGAGAUGCUUUGGUGCCUUCGGGAACUCUGAGACAGGUGCUGCAUGGCUGUCGUCAGCUCGUGUUGUGAAAUGUUGGGUUAAGUCCCGCAACGAGCGCAACCCUUAUCCUUUGUUGCCAGCGGUUCGGCCGGGAACUCAAAGGAGACUGCCAGUGAUAAACUGGAGGAAGGUGGGGAUGACGUCAAGUCAUCAUGGNCCNCUUACGAGUAGGGCUACACACGUGCUACAAUGGCAUAUACAAAGAGAAGCGACCUCGCGAGAGCAAGCGGACCUCAUAAAGUAUGUCGUAGUCCGGAUUGGAGUCUGCAACUCGACUCCAUGAAGUCGGAAUCGCUAGUAAUCGUAGAUCAGAAUGCUACGGUGAAUACGUUCCCGGGCCUUGUACACACCGCCCGUCACACCAUGGGAGUGGGUUGCAAAAGAAGUAGGUAGCUUAACCUUCGGGAGGGCGCU
Molecule: ribosomal RNA, 1385 nt
Filed under: Klebsiella ornithinolytica
Lineage: Bacteria; Pseudomonadati; Pseudomonadota; Gammaproteobacteria; Enterobacterales; Enterobacteriaceae
Description: Raoultella ornithinolytica 16S ribosomal RNA
Rfam family: Bacterial small subunit ribosomal RNA
Source: RNAcentral